UACGAAGGGGGCUAGCGUUGUUCGGAAUUACUGGGCGUAAAGCGCGCGUAGGCGGACUGACAAGUCGGGGGUGAAAUCCCGAGGCUCAACCUCGGAACUGCCUUCGAUACUGUCAGUCUUGAGGUCGGGAGAGGUGAGUGGAACUCCGAGUGUAGAGGUGAAAUUCGUAGAUAUUCGGAAGAACACCAGUGGCGAAGGCGACUUACUGGACACAUAUUGACGCUGAGGUGCGAAAGCGUGGGGAGCAAACAGG
Molecule: ribosomal RNA, 253 nt
Filed under: uncultured bacterium
Lineage: Bacteria
Description: partial 16S ribosomal RNA
Rfam family: Bacterial small subunit ribosomal RNA
Source: RNAcentral